GACGAACGCUGGCGGCGUGCUUAACACAUGCAAGUCGAACGGUGAAGCGCCUUCCUUUUUGGUGGGUGUGGAUGAGUGGCGAACGGGUGAGUAACACGUGAGUAACCUGCCCCCUUCUUCUGGAUAACCGCAUGAAAGUGUGGCUAAUACGGGAUAUUCUGGGUCUGUCGCAUGAUGGGUCUUGGAAAGAUAUUGUUUCGGUGGGGGAUGGGAUCGCGGCCUAUAAGCUUGUUGGUGGGGGGAUGGCAUACCAAGGCGGUGACGGGUAGCCGGCAUGAGAGGGUGGACGGUCACACUGGGACUGAGACACGGCGCAGACUCCUACGGGAGGCAGCAGUGGGGAAUAUUGCACAAUGGGCGGAAGCCUGAUGCAGCGACGCCGCGUGAGGGAUGGAGGCCUUCGGGUUGUGAACCUCUUUCGCCAGAGAAGCAGGCCUGCCUCGUUUGUGGGUGGGUUGACGGUAGCUGGAUAAGAAGCGCCGGCUAACUACGUG
Molecule: ribosomal RNA, 494 nt
Filed under: uncultured bacterium
Lineage: Bacteria
Description: partial 16S ribosomal RNA
Rfam family: Bacterial small subunit ribosomal RNA
Source: RNAcentral